Juglans microcarpa x Juglans regia is the source of this 1371-nucleotide long non-coding RNA. RefSeq lists it as uncharacterized. NCBI's taxonomy places the organism in Eukaryota, Viridiplantae, Streptophyta, Magnoliopsida, Fagales, Juglandaceae. The transcript has 3 exons. The record is from RefSeq and is a predicted model, not a curated record.
AUGAAAAUUUUAUUAGUAGAUGUAGAGACCACGAAAUAUACACAUGGAUUAUAUACUUUGACCAGAAAACUUUUUUCAGCACUGUAUUUUGCAAAAGGAUAAUAUUCCACAAAGCUAUUAUUAGCUAUGCCCAACUCAAAGUUCAUCUGGAAAACUCCCCUCCACCACAGGGGGACAGGUGCCUUCUGUUGGCUUAGGCUACGUUUGGGUAGUGAGGUGAUCUCAGAUGAUCUAUGAAUAGUAGUGGAAAAGUAAUGAUAAAAGUUUUGAAUUACGGGCAAACAAGGAUGAACUUUAAGUCUUCUUCUUCAACACGUUGUUCCUUUAGGCAAUUGCGAUAGAUUUUAAUGGCCAAGUGCCAAUGACUUUCUUGCUCCUUUGGGUUAUGCAUUCUAGUUUGGUGGAUCUUCUAACACCUUGAAAUUGGCAGUUUGGUAGUCAUCUAUUUAUGUUGCUAUAGAGAAUGACAUAUCUUUGGAGAGAAACAAAUGAUCAUAAUUUCAAGGCAGCCGGGUAAAAGUACAUUCUAGUGCAGAGUGUAAAGGACUGAAGUGCUUUGCUUUUGGUUUACCAAAGCACACUUUUGGAGCUUUUUUAUUGAAUUUAGAGCUCAUAAAAGCGUGUUUUUUUUAAUUUUGUUUGAAAAAAAAUAGAAAAUAUCAUUUCAAGACUCCGAAAAUGAUGUAGACAAAUUUUUUUAAGUAUUUAGUUGAUAUUGAAGAUCAUUUAUAUACCAUGGUGCCACAUGUUUCUGCAUGUGAUGUAUAUGAUUUGAACCCGAUAUAAUAGUCCAAGUUGGCUUUCCAGAUGGAUUGAUAUUGGACUGCUUACGUUAGUAUAGAAGUCAAUACCUACAGGUUCGUGAGCUUUUUUUCAUGGCCCUUUUGCUAUAUUUCAAUUCAACCAUGUACUUAAAUUUGAUUGUGGUUAUCUAUUAUUAUAGAUGUGUAUAUUUAGCAAAGCACAAGAGAAUUAUAUAAAAUGCUUUUUGUAUAGGUGAGAAUUAUAUAAAAUGUUAUGUUUAAAAUUAAUGUAAUUAGAUGAUUACUUAAUUGUCAUGUUGCAUAUUACUCUAACAUAUUGAGUAAAUAACUCAAUAGGCUAAGCAUACUAACAUCUUGCUUUUUAAACAUUUUUUUCCUUGUAUUUAUAGAUUGUUUGUUAUAUUAUUCAUCACAUUUUAAAAAGUGCGCUCCAAUUCAAUGAGGCGUGCACUUUUGCUUUGUGCCUUGCGCCUAGGCUCUAGACAACAUUUGUGCUUAAGUAGGCUAGUGCUUUGCUUUCAGACUUGGCAAUAAUAUAUAAUACUAAGGCAUCCAAUCCAGAGAAACAAAUGGAUCAAAACAAAGAAAAAAAAAAAUCCUUGGCUUU